CGCGGUGUAGCUCAGUCAGGUAGAGCGUCGGGCUCAUACCCCGAAUGUCGUUGGAUCGAAGCCAACCAUCGCAACCA
This 77-nucleotide transfer RNA is filed under the name compost metagenome. Its description in RNAcentral is "tRNA-Met". It matches the Rfam family "tRNA". Rfam says of the family: Transfer RNA (tRNA) molecules are approximately 80 nucleotides in length. The record is from RNAcentral.